GGAGAGGUGGCCGAGUGGUUGAAGGCGCAGUCCUGGAAAGACUGUAUACGGGAAACCGUAUCGAGAGUUCGAAUCUCUCCCUCUCCG
RNAcentral lists this transfer RNA (87 nucleotides) under Candidatus Avelusimicrobium gallicola. RNAcentral describes it as "tRNA-Ser". It matches the Rfam family "tRNA". Rfam says of the family: Transfer RNA (tRNA) molecules are approximately 80 nucleotides in length. Their secondary structure includes four short double-helical elements and three loops (D, anti-codon, and T loops). RNAcentral also lists the same sequence under 1 other name. Lineage: Bacteria; Pseudomonadati; Elusimicrobiota; Elusimicrobia; Elusimicrobiales; Elusimicrobiaceae. The record is from RNAcentral.